UCGUUUGUUAUGCUUAGCGUCACUGGACAUCAGAUUAGGACUACUACUCCAGGAUUGUCGACCGCUGCUUGCACCUUCACCUCUUGCAUACAUCAAACACGUCCGUCGUCAGGAUAAUAUAGCUGCCCAUUUUGUAGCACGUAAGACUCUUACUUAUCCUGCAUCAAACGAUCGUUUGAUCGAUUUUGCGCUAUUGUAUUCCUUAGUUGUAUUUUACUCUUUUAUCUCUUCAGUAUUAGUUUCAAUGCCCUAGACAAAAAAGGUGUUUUGUAAUCGUAUUUCUGCAAACAAUUGAAGUGAC
This 301-nucleotide long non-coding RNA is filed under the name Linum usitatissimum (flax). Its description in RNAcentral is "long non-coding RNA (LUSI_LNC003055)". The record is from RNAcentral. Lineage: Eukaryota; Viridiplantae; Streptophyta; Magnoliopsida; Malpighiales; Linaceae.